Molecule: long non-coding RNA, 444 nt
Filed under: Mus spicilegus (steppe mouse)
Lineage: Eukaryota; Metazoa; Chordata; Mammalia; Rodentia; Muridae
Description: lncRNA (ENSMSIG00000019495.1)
Source: RNAcentral
GUCGGAUGGAAGAGUAUCACCUUCAUCAUGCUUGAUGGCUGCCUCCUGUGCUCUCCGUGACAUGUGAAGGACAGUGGCCAUGUAGCAAGGAUCCCAGGUACCCAAGGAAGGGAUGGCCGGGCUGACCAGGAAGCAGAACAAGGCAUAUUCUCAGACUCGAAGUAGCUGCCUGCUGAUAAAGGAGAUUAAGUCUUCCUCCCAGUCCCAGUGAAGUCGCACUCUCACUUCGUAUUCAGCUUCAGAAUCACCAGCUGUAGAAGACUUUGCUCCAUCUUCUUUGCCAAGUCUUUGCUGUUGAAAGUUACUGCUUACAAUACCAUCAACUAUAUCUCAAUGUAUGUUUGAUUAUACCAUGUAUCUUUCCUCUUUGUAUUACAAACAGGCUCCAUAUGUAAUAGAUAAUGAUAAAAUAAAUAAAUGAAAUGAAAUAAAAAAUUAAAAAAA